CUCGUAAGGAACUGUCUGCAAUGAAACUGCUGUGUUUAGCUUUCCUUUUAUUCCUUGCCCAGGGUUCCGUUGCCCAGGGCACAGGGGGAAAUCGGCGUUGGAAUAAUGAUUGGAACAACGACUGGAAUAACGGGAAUAACGACUGGAAUAACGAUUGGAACGAUGGAUGGCGGGGGGAAUGGCAGAGACCUCCAUUGAGAGGCGGAUAAGUGAGAAUCAUCUCCCAAGCCUAAAAACUGUGAUUGGUGUGAUUACAAAACGGCUGAAGCACCCAAUUUUUUUUUCUUCAAAACCAUGGGCAUACGGAAUAAAACUACUGUUAAGUUUAAUAAAGAUUAAUGAACAUUA
Magallana angulata is the source of this 348-nucleotide long non-coding RNA. RefSeq lists it as uncharacterized. The record is from RefSeq and is a predicted model, not a curated record. Lineage: Eukaryota; Metazoa; Mollusca; Bivalvia; Ostreida; Ostreidae. The transcript is spliced from 2 exons.